CUGCAUGGUUGUCGUCAGCUCGUGCCGUGAGGUGUCGGGUUAAGUCCCAUAACGAGCGCAACCCCUACCUUUACGUUGCCAUCAGGUUAAGCUGGGGACUCUAAAGGAACUGCCUACGCAAGUAGUGAGGAAGGCGGGGAGUGACGUCAAAUACAGCACGGCCCUUACGUCCAGGGCUACACACGUGCUACAAUGGCCGAUACAGAGGGCAGCUACCUGGUGACAGGAUGCAAAUCUCCAAAGUCGGUCUCAGUUCGGAUCGGAGUCUGCAACCCGACUCCGUGAAGUUGGAUUCGCUAGUAAUCGCGCAUCAGCCAUGGCGCGGUGAAUACGUUCCCGGGCCUU
This 345-nucleotide ribosomal RNA is filed under the name uncultured Sphingobacteriales bacterium. RNAcentral describes it as "bacterial SSU rRNA". It matches the Rfam family "Bacterial small subunit ribosomal RNA", at positions 1041 to 1382 of the family's 1533-position model. Lineage: Bacteria; Pseudomonadati; Bacteroidota; Sphingobacteriia; Sphingobacteriales. The record is from RNAcentral.